RNAcentral lists this ribosomal RNA (447 nucleotides) under uncultured bacterium. RNAcentral's name for it is "bacterial SSU rRNA". It matches the Rfam family "Bacterial small subunit ribosomal RNA", at positions 355 to 825 of the family's 1533-position model. The record is from RNAcentral.
UCGGGAAUUUUGGGCAAUGGGCGAAAGCCUGACCCAGCAACGCCGCGUGAAGGAUGAAGUAUUUCGGUAUGUAAACUUCGUAAGAAUAGGAAGAAUAAAUGACGGUACUAUUUGUAAGGUCCGGCUAACUACGUGCCAGCAGCCGCGGUAAUACGUAGGGACCAAGCGUUGUUCGGAUUUACUGGGCGUAAAGGGCGCGUAGGCGGCGUGGUAAGUCAUCUGUGAAAUCUCCGAGCUUAACUCGGAACGGUCAGAUGAUACUGCUGUGCUAGAGUGCAGAAGGGGCAAUCGGAAUUCUUGGUGUAGCGGUGAAAUGCGUAGAUAUCAAGAGGAACACCUGAGGUGAAGACGGGUUGCUGGGCUGACACUGACGCUGAGGCGCGAAAGCCAGGGGAGCAAACGGGAUUAGAUACCCAUGUAGUCCCUGAGCGGGCUGGCAAGGCGCAU